This 493-nucleotide ribosomal RNA is filed under the name Arthrobacter sp. Nj-29. RNAcentral's name for it is "bacterial SSU rRNA". It matches the Rfam family "Bacterial small subunit ribosomal RNA", at positions 496 to 987 of the family's 1533-position model. Lineage: Bacteria; Bacillati; Actinomycetota; Actinomycetes; Micrococcales; Micrococcaceae. The record is from RNAcentral.
GCUAACUACGUGCCAGCAGCCGCGGUAAUACGUAGGGCGCAAGCGUUAUCCGGAAUUAUUGGGCGUAAAGAGCUCGUAGGCGGUUUGUCGCGUCUGCCGUGAAAGUCCGGGGCUCAACUCCGGAUCUGCGGUGGGUACGGGCAGACUAGAGUGAUGUAGGGGAGACUGGAAUUCCUGGUGUAGCGGUGAAAUGCGCAGAUAUCAGGAGGAACACCGAUGGCGAAGGCAGGUCUCUGGGCAUUAACUGACGCUGAGGAGCGAAAGCAUGGGGAGCGAACAGGAUUAGAUACCCUGGUAGUCCAUGCCGUAAACGUUGGGCACUAGGUGUGGGGGACAUUCCACGUUUUCCGCGCCGUAGCUAACGCAUUAAGUGCCCCGCCUGGGGAGUACGGCCGCAAGGCUAAAACUCAAAGGAAUUGACGGGGGCCCGCACAAGCGGCGGAGCAUGCGGAUUAAUUCGAUGCAACGCGAAGAACCUUACCAAGCUUGACAU